UACAUGGGGUGCAAACGUUGCUCGGAAUUAUUGGGCGGAAAGCGCGCGUAGGCGGUUACUCAAGUCGGAUGUGAAAGCCCUCGGCUUAACUGAGGAAGUGCACCCGAAACUGAGUAGCUAGAGUACUAAAGAGGGUCGCGGAAUUCCCGGUGUAGAGGUGAAAUUCGUAGAUAUCGGGAGGAACACCGGUGGCGAAGGCGGCGAUCUGGGAAGAUACUGACGCUGAGGUGCGAAAGCGUGGGGAGCAAACAGG
This 253-nucleotide ribosomal RNA is filed under the name uncultured bacterium. Its description in RNAcentral is "partial 16S ribosomal RNA". It matches the Rfam family "Bacterial small subunit ribosomal RNA", at positions 524 to 776 of the family's 1533-position model. The record is from RNAcentral.